RNAcentral lists this long non-coding RNA (1875 nucleotides) under Monomorium pharaonis (pharaoh ant). Its description in RNAcentral is "uncharacterized LOC118647287". Lineage: Eukaryota; Metazoa; Arthropoda; Insecta; Hymenoptera; Formicidae. The record is from RNAcentral.
AGGAAGAAAAGACGAAUCUCGUCGGAAAAAACAUUUCUUGAGCGCCUCCCGACGUCGGUUGAUACGCGAUUGGCAAUUAAUCACGAUAAGAAUGAUGGUUUCCGAGCCGUCCGUUUCAAGUUACAACAAGAACUGAUUGAUUUCCGACAUUGGAAUUAUACGAUCGAACUCGUGCAAAGGUUUUCUUUGGUUUUCCUCGAAGAUAAAUGUUAUAUCCUCGCAAAAAUAAAUUCGUGAAUUCGUGAAAAUCAUAUUAAUGUAAAUAUUUUAUUGCUUUUUUUUACAAAUUUAAUACUAGUAACUAAACAAUUCUGUAUAAAUAAACGAUUUAAAGAUAAUAUAAAAAGUAAUGAUUUAUUUAAUUCAAAUCAUCAAUGAAAUUAUAUUUUAUUUCUUAAAAUAAGAUAAAAAUAUUUAUUUCUAAAAAAACUAUUUAUGCUAAAAAAUUAAAUUUAAAUCGCAGCUUUGUCAACAUGUAGAUAUUAGUCGGAAAAUAUUUUGGUCCCUUCAAAUCUCUGUAGUAGGUUGCUUCAAAUCUCUGUAGUAGGUUAUCGAUUUUGUCGGUAAAGGAAAAAUGGACCCUUCUGGUAUUAAGUCUAGUUUAGUCUUAACUUAAAUCCGUUAAAUUUGCACGAAAUUAAUUUGAAUCCUCGUCAUAUUCUUACGAAUAAGUUCAUCAUAAUAGUCCAGAGAUUGAACAUGAAUUUCCAAUCUUUAAGAAAAUCUAGAUUUAUACAUUUGCGAGAUAUUUUUGGGUGCGUCCAUUUUAAGUCACAAUCAAUGAGUCAUAAAUGUUUAUUAUAUAUUUUAAAACUUCAUAUUUCCAGUUUAUAUAAUUUUUCUUUAUGAAAAUUUAUGUCGUUAGAGCUGAAUGAAAAAUUAUAAUAAUUAAUAUACGACAAGAUAUAAAGUCUACAAAUUUAAUUGAUCAUAAGCUCAUGAAAUAACAAAGUAAAAUUUAAAAUUAAUAUCAAUUUUAGGUGAUAAUAUCGAGACAGUUUAGACAAUACACUGUUCAAUUGCAUGUUAAUUGCUUUAGAGACGUUGGAACGUGUAAACAAAAGUUUAUGACACUUUCGUGGUAACUUUCAAUAGUACUAAGAUGUUAAUAUAAAUGAUCGCAAAGAAUUUAAUGAACACACAACGUACAGAGAUAAUUAAUGAUAAGAAUGAUAGAAAAGUUUGCGUUUGUAUUAAAAUGCUAGAAAGCUUGCAUGAAAAAUGCUCAGUGAUUUUGAAAGAACUAUUUCUUACAUAGAAGCAGAAAGAAAAUCUUGAGAGAUUUGGUACACGAGAAACCGAUUCAAUAACGCUGUUACACCAUUUUGUCUGGGUUGCAGGGCAUAACAGUUCGUGUGACGCGAAAGCGCAGAGAAGCACGUGGACAUGGACAGGCACGUACGUGGCAUUUCUUUUAGUAGAAUAGAUGACUCGCGUCACAAGUUUGCAGCGUAAUCCAUUGUUACGAACUUAUGGAAAAAUAUGCGAUGAAUAAGAUAGGUUUGAUCAAGAUUGUCACAAUCUUUAAGUCCGUAAUCCGUAACUGUACUGGGAUCCAACGAAUCUGAGACGCUCCGCAAAGACCUAUGAUGAAUGAUGCAGAGGAGGGAUGGACAAAAUUACUUGGCACAGCUUGCAUUGAAGCACUGACCGUGAUUAAUGAUAAUAAAUGAGAAACGGUUUAUCUCGCUAGGCCGAGCAGAAUUACCGGUAGAUUUAUAAAAAUUGUAAAUAGGUUUCCAAAACUCCAUGCAUAGUUUUAUGUAAAAUGAUCUAUGAUAUAAGAAAUAAAAUUAUUACAGAUAUGGAGAUAUAAGGGUACUUUUCUGUAAUAUUGUAAAAUAUACAAAUUUAUAAAUAAUAAAUUUUAUACAA